This 301-nucleotide ribosomal RNA is filed under the name uncultured bacterium. RNAcentral describes it as "partial 16S ribosomal RNA". It matches the Rfam family "Bacterial small subunit ribosomal RNA", at positions 509 to 808 of the family's 1533-position model. The record is from RNAcentral.
CAGUAGCCGCGGUAAUACGUAGGUCCCGAGCGUUGUCCGGAUUUAUUGGGCGUAAAGCGAGCGCAGGCGGUUAGAUAAGUCUGAGGUUAAAGGCUGUGGCUUAACCAUAGUACGCUUUGGAAACUGUUUAACUUGAGUGCAAGAGGGGAGAGUGGAAUUCCAUGUGUAGCGGUGAAAUGCGUAGAUAUAUGGAGGAACACCGGUGGCGAAAGCGGCUCUCUGGCUUGUAACUGACGCUGAGGCUCGAAAGCGUGGGGAGCAAACAGGAUUAGAUACCCCUGUAGUCCCUGUCUCUUAUACA